AUGGGCCCAGCGGACUCAAGGACCGUCUCACAGGAAGAGUUGCUUGCCCAGCUCUGGAGUUACUGUCGGAGCAUUCUCCAGGGGGCAGAUCCUCAUCAGAGACACUUACAGGUCGUAUUUUUUGAUUCCUUCCUAUCAUCAACCACCUUAUCUGUGAGCUUUUUGGACACUAAGAGACUAAUUUCGAUUAUAACCAUGCUGAGGGCAAGUUCCUGCUUUGAGCUUUUUGGUUUUGGCUGUCCGGGCGAGGAGGAUGUGGCGACCUCCCUGGAAGCCCUUGCUGCCUAUUUGUUUUUUCAUAGGCAGAUAGCUUCCCCACCGUCGUUUGCGGCUCACUUGUUGGACCCUCCAUUGCGGGAGAAACAGUUCACACGCCCUCUGCACCUCACCACAUCUCCACUCACCUCCGCGGCAUCUGCUGAGUCAGCAGACAAAGGACCGGCAGCUCAAAACCACACAGCUGCUCUCCUGUCCGGCCGACUGGUGGAACCUCAGCCUGUCGCGCCGGCCCCGGCAUCAUCAAAGAAGCGACGCUUGCGCCGCCCCUCACCGCCGCCAGAUUCCCUGACUUUCCCUCAGCCAAUUGUGGUGAGUCAUAUGGACAAUUCAUCUUCACUCACCUCAUCUGUUUAUUCACUGGACUGUGUGAACGCUAACCUCGUAGCACAGCCUGUAGCCCUUGCACAGCCUGUAGCAGCUGCCCAGCACGUAACUCAGUCAGCUGCCCAGCAAGUAACUCAGUCUGCUGCCCAGCUAGUCACUCAGUCAGCUGCCCAGCACGUAACUCAGUCUGCUGCCCAGCUAGUCACUCAGUCUGCUGCCCAGCACGUAACUCAGUCAGCUGCCCAGCACGUAACUCAGUCAGCUGCCCAGCACGUAACUCAGUCAGCUGCCCAGCACGUAACUCAGUCUGCUGCCCAGCACGUAACUCAGUCUGCUGCCCAGUCAGCCUCUCAUCUUUAUCCUCAGUUGGAGGUCGAUAGGCCUGCCGGACCUACUCUGCCAUCAUUUCACCCGGCUGUUGUUCCUGCAUCGCUGUCCAGUCUACCAUGA
RNAcentral lists this long non-coding RNA (1053 nucleotides) under Oreochromis niloticus (Nile tilapia). Its description in RNAcentral is "lncRNA (ENSONIG00000042061.1)". The record is from RNAcentral. Lineage: Eukaryota; Metazoa; Chordata; Actinopteri; Cichliformes; Cichlidae.